Molecule: ribosomal RNA, 253 nt
Filed under: uncultured bacterium
Lineage: Bacteria
Description: partial 16S ribosomal RNA
Rfam family: Bacterial small subunit ribosomal RNA
Source: RNAcentral
UACAGAGGUCUCAAGCGUUGUUCGGAUUCAUUGGGCGUAAAGGGUGCGUAGGUGGCGCCGUAAGUCAGGUGUGAAAUCUCGGAGCUUAACUCCGAAACUGCAUUCGAUACUGCCGUGCUUGAGGACUGGAGAGGAGACUGGAAUUUACGGUGUAGCGGUGAAAUGCGUAGAUAUCGUAAGGAAGACCAGUGGCGAAGGCGGGUCUCUGGACAGUUCCUGACGCUGAGGCACGAAGGUCAGGGGAGCAAACGGG